RNAcentral lists this transfer RNA (64 nucleotides) under Cerconychia flectospina. RNAcentral describes it as "tRNA-Arg". The record is from RNAcentral. Lineage: Eukaryota; Metazoa; Arthropoda; Insecta; Plecoptera; Styloperlidae.
GAAUAAGAAGCGAUUUUUUGCAUUCAGUUUCGACCUGACCCUAGGUAGAUUAUACCCUUAUUCU